GGAAUAUUGGACAAUGGGGGAAACCCUGAUCCAGCCAUGCCGCGUGAGCGAUGAAGGCCUUAGGGUUGUAAAGCUCUUUCAGCGGGGAAGAUAAUGACGGUACCCGCAGAAGAAGCCCCGGCUAACUCCGUGCCAGCAGCCGCGGUAAUACGGAGGGGGCUAGCGUUGUUCGGAAUUACUGGGCGUAAAGCGCACGUAGGCGGACUGUUUAGUCGGGGGUGAAAUCCCGGGGCUCAACCCCGGAACGGCCUCCGAUACUGGCAGUCUGGAGGAUGGGAGAGGCGAGUGGAAUUCCGAGUGUAGAGGUGAAAUUCGUAGAUAUUCGGAGGAACACCAGUGGCGAAGGCGGCUCGCUGGCCCACUUCUGACGCUGAGGUGCGAAAGCGUGGGGAGCAAA
RNAcentral lists this ribosomal RNA (397 nucleotides) under uncultured bacterium. RNAcentral describes it as "bacterial SSU rRNA". It matches the Rfam family "Bacterial small subunit ribosomal RNA", at positions 358 to 772 of the family's 1533-position model. The record is from RNAcentral.